Molecule: long non-coding RNA, 522 nt
Organism: Thunnus maccoyii (southern bluefin tuna)
Lineage: Eukaryota; Metazoa; Chordata; Actinopteri; Scombriformes; Scombridae
Exons: 5
Source: RefSeq, a predicted model, not a curated record
AUGUUUUCUGUUGUUUCUUCUACUAGUUCUGUUCUGCUCUGACUGUUCAUGAUCAUCCACAAUUAAAGGAGAGUUUUUUUCAUCAUAUCUGCAUUGCGGCCUCUGCGUUUGGGUCCACUCCUGCUUCCCCGAGUCUGACAUAUGGCUUACUAUCAUCAUCAUCUUUAGCAUGAGAUGUCAGCAAUAAGGCCACAGAGAGUGAAGAUUAAACCUAAAGAAGAGGCAGCAUAUUUUUCAUCCUUGGGCAAGGACGAGGAUGGAUUCAAUAUAAAAUAUAUUAAUUCAUUUAAAGGUCGAGGAGUGUUCAGUUGCCGCCACUUUCAGAAGGGAGACUUUCUUAUUGAAUAUUGAUUGGAAAUCAAACAGGAACAUGAAAACAGGUUUCAACUGAAGCACGUCCUCACCAUGCAGCCUGGGCAUCUGACUGCACCAAAGAUGUUAAACAGGUCGUCAGUGAGGAUGUCAGUCAUUCUCUGCAGCGGGACUUCAUGCACCUCGCUAAAGGGAAAACUAGCAGGUAUU